RNAcentral lists this ribosomal RNA (497 nucleotides) under uncultured bacterium. RNAcentral's name for it is "partial 16S ribosomal RNA". It matches the Rfam family "Bacterial small subunit ribosomal RNA", at positions 28 to 507 of the family's 1533-position model. The record is from RNAcentral.
GAUGAACGCUGGCGGCGUGCCUAAUACAUGCAAGUCGAGCGAACGGACGAGAAGCUUGCUUCUCUGAUGUUAGCGGCGGACGGGUGAGUAACACGUGGAUAACCUACCUAUAAGACUGGGAUAACUUCGGGAAACCGGAGCUAAUACCGGAUAAUAUUUUGAACCGCAUGGUUCAAAAGUGAAAGACGGUCUUGCUGUCACUUAUAGAUGGAUCCGCGCUGCAUUAGCUAGUUGUUAAGGUAACGGCUUACCAAGGCAACGAUGCGUAGCCGACCUGAGAGGGUGAUAGGCCACACUGGAACUGAGACACGGUCCAGACUCCUACGGGAGGCAGCAGUAGGGAAUCUUCCGCAAUGGGCGAAAGCCUGACGGAGCAACGCCGCGUGAGUGAUGAAGGUCUUCGGAUCGUAAAACUCUGUUAUUAGGGAAGAACAUAUGUGUAAGUAACUGUGCACAUCUUGACGGUACCUAAUCAGAAAGCCACGGCUAACUACGUG